Molecule: long non-coding RNA, 487 nt
Filed under: Pelobates cultripes (western spadefoot toad)
Lineage: Eukaryota; Metazoa; Chordata; Amphibia; Anura; Pelobatidae
Source: RNAcentral
AAAUUAAUUAAUAAUAAUAAUAUGUAACAUGCCUGACAAUAAUCAAUGAAUAUCCAGUAUAAAAUGAUAUGCAAUACAAAAGAAUGGCUAUACACGUUUCAAUGGCUAAACAGCAUUUUCUGUCAAGACUUACACGAUUUAUGAGGUAUCCUUACAGACAGAAAGCGAAGCUUUUCACAGCGAAGGGCCAUAAAACCCUGGCUAACAGUUAGAUCAACUGAAUAACCCUUUCAAUGCUGGCUGGAUCUCCUAGGUAAUUAAGAUCUAUUCUUAUGUACUUUUAAAUAAAAUAACAUUUAAACCAGUUCAUUAGUCAUUUCCUGGAACCAUCCAAUAAGAGAAUCUACCAGAUUUUAUAAGCAGAUUUUUAAUUCGCCUAAAAAGAUAUCUUAUCUUAUAUUAGAGCAAAUCAAUAUACCUGGAUAAAAACAGCGGUAUGCUAACAUGUGAUACUAUCACAUUAAUAUAUAAUUAUUCUUAAUUCCAC